Molecule: long non-coding RNA, 2243 nt
Organism: Melanotaenia boesemani (Boeseman's rainbowfish)
Lineage: Eukaryota; Metazoa; Chordata; Actinopteri; Atheriniformes; Melanotaeniidae
Exons: 3
Source: RefSeq, a predicted model, not a curated record
UUGCCAGAUCGUUUUGAUUAACUCCCUGCACAUUUCCAGCCCUGAUUUCGGCCUGCCUGCCUCCCUGAUUUCGGCCUGCCUGCCUGUUUUGACCACCAACCCGCUUCUGACCUGGAUAUUGGAUUUUUGCCUGUCCCCUGUCUGGUAAUUCUGACUUUUCUGUUGUUUGGACCCUGCUGGUAAUCUGACCCUUGGACUGUGUUAUUGGAUGAGGAUUUGAAUAUCGGAUUUGGAUGUGGAUUUGAAUUUUGGAUUUGGAUGUGGAUGUGAAUUUUGGAUUUGGAUUAACGCAACCUGCCUCUCUCUCCCUUCCGCUGGAGGAUCCAUCCGGACCCCCCUUCUUUGAACAUAUACCCAACUCAAAGUCUCAGUUUAACCAUUAUCUACCCCUGCUAACCCGUCCUGGUUCAGCAGCCCCGACAGACGCAGCGGAUCUCCUCACUGUUAUUGCAGUACAGGGAUUCUGCCGGCUCGCUCCUAUUUCUUCCACAGGCUAGCGGGCUACGAGACCAGACCCGGUUUUCCUGGAAGCUACUCACAAUUAUUCAAUAAACCUGUUUCCAAUCCAAUCCUCUGUCCUGACACUGUUUACGGUCCAGUUUGCUAAAUCCUUCACAAUUAUUUAAUUGGAGUACAUAAUCUUUGAUUUAAAAACAGUAUAGUUUGGUGGUUGUAGCUCAUUUCUAGUCAGAAAUAUCAACUAUAUAACACUGACCCUAACGUGUACAUAGGCUACAAAAAGACUUCGUCAAAGACUCUUGUCAACAUAAACUAAUAUUUACGUUGGUACCCCAAAAAUCUCUGCUUGUAAAAUAUAUGAGAACAAGAUAAAGAUCAAAUUAAGGUAAAAUGAGUCACUCAAAACGAAUUCAAACAUAAUUUUAUUAUAAAUGUUCAAAUUAUUAAAGAUUUUGCAUGAAGAACCAGCAGAAAAUCAUCAUCAGACUUGGAAAAAGUUCCUCCUGAAUAAACAAUAAGGCACCACAGUUUUCUUCUUUCUAGUGAAAAUAAAAAGCUUUAAAUCAGAUCCCCGUUCCAUCACAUUUUUACUGGUUUGAAAUUAUUUUUUAAGCAUCAAGUUUGUUAUUCAUGAACAUUUAUAUGUUCAGGCCAAAACAACAAACAAAAACUAAAUAUUUCAUCAAGUAGAUUUUGUUUGUAGUCAAAACUGAUUUUUUUGCGUUGUCUCUAAAAGUCCUGACGAGAAACUGCUGCUGGACCUCGAUGACAAGCAGACAUCUUUGCCUUCUUCACCGCUUCCAUCGAGAUGUUCGUAGAGCUUCCGUAUUUCUUCUUCCGGGAGGGUUUGCUGAGCUCUAAAUUUCACGCUCAUCUCUGGAUUCAAUCCUUUUUUAAUAUAUUUUAUCUAAUAUCCAUAGGGGGAUCAGCGAGCUCCACUAAGGGAAAAAGGAAAGAGAGUCUUUUAGUCACUGAAUAAUUAAUAAAAUAAAAUAACAGUCACCCUAAAAAGAUUUAAUCAAGUUUAAUGUCAGGUUUCAUAUUUGCAGAGUAUAUAAUGGUGGAAAGACACGACUCUGAGGCAGAGGAAGAGAGAAAAAAGAUGGCCUGAAAACAGAACAGUCAUUAAAAACAAAACUACGGUUUUGUGUAUCACAACAUAAUGAACCAUUAUCUAGUUCUCAACGUCAUUUCCUUUUUGGCUCUUCCCUCCAUCUAACCUCAUCCUCUUCUCUUGCACCCAUCAUGUCUUCCUUCACCACACUUCAUGUCUCAUUAUAGUUCCAGCCUCAGCAUCCUUCACCUCUGCACCCAAACCACCUCAGUCUGGCUUCUCUGACUUUGUCUCUGAAACAUCUUGUGUUAUCCCUCAUUCCUGAUUCUACUCAUCCCUGUCCCUCCCAAAAAUACAACACCUUCUCACUAAAUGUUUAACGAUGUUACUUUCACACAAUAUAUGAAUGAAGAAGCUUCUUUUUGAAAUAUGUAUUUUUGUGUUGGUUUAAAAUGAAAUACUUGCGAUGGUCGAACAAUAUGAAAUCAUUUAAAUGUGUAUUGUGAUAUAGGACUGUACAGUUCAGAUGGAAAAUUAACAGGAAGUGGAAAAUAUUUUAACUUUGGAGAAGGGGUGGGGUUUAAUAAGUUUGACUUCUUCCCGCCCUUUUCGAGCAUGAUCUGUUUUUAUUUUUAUUUUUUUUGUAUUUGGGAUUCUCAUGGCUGUACAUGUGGUUUUGUAUGAGCUCGAAAUAAACUUACUUACUACUAAUGACCGAUAUGAAUCCUGU